This 535-nucleotide ribosomal RNA is filed under the name Streptococcus equinus. RNAcentral's name for it is "bacterial SSU rRNA". It matches the Rfam family "Bacterial small subunit ribosomal RNA", at positions 1 to 522 of the family's 1533-position model. Lineage: Bacteria; Bacillati; Bacillota; Bacilli; Lactobacillales; Streptococcaceae. The record is from RNAcentral.
UGGAGAGUUUGAUCCUGGCUCAGGACGAACGCUGGCGGCGUGCCUAAUACAUGCAAGUAGAACGCUGACUACUUUAGCUUGCUAGAGUAGAAGGAGUUGCGAACGGGUGAGUAACGCGUAGGUAACCUGCCUACUAGCGGGGGAUAACUAUUGGAAACGAUAGCUAAUACCGCAUAACAGUGUUUAACACAUGUUAGAUGCUUGAAAGGUGCAAUUGCAUCACUAGUAGAUGGACCUGCGUUGUAUUAGCUAGUUGGUGGGGUAACGGCCCACCAAGGCGACGAUACAUAGCCGACCUGAGAGGGUGAUCGGCCACACUGGGACUGAGACACGGCCCAGACUCCUACGGGAGGCAGCAGUAGGGAAUCUUCGGCAAUGGGGGCAACCCUGACCGAGCAACGCCGCGUGAGUGAAGAAGGUUUUCGGAUCGUAAAGCUCUGUUGUAAGAGAAGAACGUGUGUGAGAGUGGAAAGUUCACACAGUGACGGUAACUUACCAGAAAGGGACGGCUAACUACGUGCCAGCAGCCGCGGUA